This 72-nucleotide transfer RNA is filed under the name Lewinella sp. Its description in RNAcentral is "tRNA-Trp". It matches the Rfam family "tRNA". Rfam says of the family: Transfer RNA (tRNA) molecules are approximately 80 nucleotides in length. Their secondary structure includes four short double-helical elements and three loops (D, anti-codon, and T loops). Further hydrogen bonds mediate the characteristic L-shaped molecular structure. tRNAs have two regions of fundamental functional importance: the anti-codon, which is responsible for specific mRNA codon recognition, and the 3' end, to which the tRNAs corresponding amino acid is attached (by aminoacyl-tRNA synthetases). tRNAs cope with the degeneracy of the genetic code in two manners: having more than one tRNA (with a specific anti-codon) for a particular amino acid; and 'wobble' base-pairing, i.e. permitting non-standard base-pairing at the 3rd anti-codon position. The record is from RNAcentral. Lineage: Bacteria; Pseudomonadati; Bacteroidota; Saprospiria; Saprospirales; Lewinellaceae.
ACGGGUGUAGCUCAAUGGUAGAGCACUGGUCUCCAAAACCAGGGGCUGGGAGUUCGAGUCUCUCCACCCGUG